RNAcentral lists this non-coding RNA (148 nucleotides) under Gorilla gorilla gorilla (western lowland gorilla). The record is from Rfam by way of RNAcentral. Lineage: Eukaryota; Metazoa; Chordata; Mammalia; Primates; Hominidae.
GCCAGGUGUGGUGGCGCAUGCCUGUGGUCCCAGCUACUGGGGAGGCUGAGGUGGGAGGAUCACUUGAGCCCAGGAGGUGGAGGUUGCAGUGAGCCAAGAUCACGCCACUGCACUCCAGCCUGGGCGACAGAGUGAGACCCUGUCUCAA